Fukomys damarensis (Damara mole-rat) is the source of this 1703-nucleotide long non-coding RNA. Lineage: Eukaryota; Metazoa; Chordata; Mammalia; Rodentia; Bathyergidae. The record is from Ensembl.
ACAGUGAGCUUUCCUUUUUCUUUUUCACAGAUUUUAUUCUUGUACCUGCUAACUGCCUUCACUAUUCUGUACAAAAUAUAGAUGCCAAGAUUGCAUGAUGAAACAAAACAAAACAAAUGAGACAGACAAUCUGUGCUUUGGAAGAGGUAACAAAUGCAAAUUAAUGCCAUGUGCUCUAAGAUUUGAGAGUUCGUGUCAUGUGUUUUGUGAUCUCUUCUCUCGUAUGAUGGAAUGAGUCCUGUGUUGAGGAUCAUGCACAUAGAAUCAACCACUGCCAAGACAGGCCAACAUCAUGUGAUGAUAAUAACACACUGGAAGAUUAUGGAAAUCAGAGGUCCUAGUAUUAACUUGUGUUCAGUCAUCUACAGUUUGUGUAACACUGGGGAGAUUUCAGCUCUUCGAGAAUAAGGCUCUGUCUUCUACUCUGGUUAUUUUCCUGGCACCAGCACUGGUCCUUGACAAACUUACCAGCAGGCAGACCAUGGUGUAUAUGCACAACGCUCACCCCUGCAGAAGUUAGAGUCUCCAUGCUGCAAAAGUUCAUUGAUUGAAUUGGAUGUCACACAACUGAUCGAUUAGGGAUUGCUAUCUACACAGCCCGCUAUUGGUUUUACUUCCAUUGCUGUUGGGAACAAUCAUCUUGGGCAAGGGAAGGAAUCGGUGGUGAGCGGUGCAGAAUUGCAUAGCUGUUCUGUCUCACCAGCUGGCUGGUCCUCUGGCCUUGCAAAUAUUUGCUGACCAUCUGUGGCUGGGAACCAAGCUGCCAUUUACUUUCAUAGUCUAGAUAGAGUCGUGUUGAUCUGUAUCUGGUCAUAUGUGUUGUUCAGUAUUCUUCAGUAUUCAGUGAUAUUUAAGAUUCACGUUGUCAAUUUGAGCAACCAGUGGAUUAUUUUUGGCUUUGAGUAACGAAAAACACACUUUGAACUAUAAAAUCACUUUUAUUAUUGAAAUUCCUGCAGACAUAAUUCUGUUUUACAAGUUUGAAAUUCUCUGGCUUCUCAUCCUUUUGUUCCUCAGAAAUCAUUGUUUAUGCACACAAUUGUUUGAUCUUUCUUUUCUAAAGGGUAGAGUGUUAGAACAUUCUGGAGUCUCAGACUCUUGGAGUUGGCAGGGGAUGUGGGGGUUGUCUUGUGCACAGUGUCUUAUCCCGGCUGUGGGCUGACUUCUGCACCAUGGUUUGGGGGGUGCCAAUACGGAGGAAGUGUGGGCAGAAGCCACAGGCACCUCCUCCUGCAGAAGGAAGAGGACAUGAGCCAGUAAUAUUCAUUUAUUCUCACCAAUAACUUGACUUAGACCCACCCAAAAGCUUCCAGCCCAUUAAAGAAUUCUUAGCCUCUACCUCAACCUGUCUAGUGAUGGGGAUUUCAAGGUCCCCCAAACACUCUUGCUGGAGCGCUCUAGUCUAAUAUUGAAGGGCUGCUGUUUGUUCCUUCUCUCCCUUAUGCCUUGCCCCAUCCUCUGCUUCUCUGCAGACCCAUCCUGGGCAGACCAGCUCUGAGACACACUUUUGAAGCUGAUUCAUGGAGUAGGACAGGUCUCCAGCUACGCCCCAAAGGGUGCUGUGGCUGUCGCUUGCCUGCAGUCCCUUUGAUGGCUUUGUGUUCUGUGCUAUAAAUAAAUCAUUUUGAAUGCUUAUCUGCUUCCCUCUGUUUGCUUUUCAAGUUAUUUUGGGUAACAGUCCUCUUCGGUGUUAGAUGGGGGCC